Molecule: ribosomal RNA, 486 nt
Filed under: Triatoma vandae
Lineage: Eukaryota; Metazoa; Arthropoda; Insecta; Hemiptera; Reduviidae
Description: eukaryotic LSU rRNA
Rfam family: Eukaryotic large subunit ribosomal RNA
Source: RNAcentral
UUUGAGAUGGCCUCUCGCCCUAUUCAGUGUAACAGCUGUGGUAGUGGGUUUGGUCGCUCGCAUUUAAAUUGGAAGGGUAAUGGUGGACCGCACUUCUCCCUUAGUAGGACGUUGCGACCUGUCAAAUAAUAUCCUAAGUAUUUGGCUAAUUUGUCUGUUUUUAGGCAGUACUGAAAGGUAUUUCCUUUAACAGUUUUAGCCGUUAACAUACUGGAUAUAAUUGACAGUAACGAAUCAUGGUGUUGAGCCACUUACUUUGUAAGUGUCCUUUAUGGCUGUUUGCAAGUGGGUUGGUUAAUUAGUUUUAGUCGGAUUUUGGUCCGUCUAACUAUUCCGCCUACUGUUGGUAAACUGUUCCUUGGACAGUGCUUAUAACACCGGUCGGCAGCGAUUCAGGUUCAGGCUCUUAUCCGACCCGUCUUGAAACACGGACCAAGGAGUUUAGCGUGUACGCAAGUCAUUGGGUGUAUAAAACCCAAAGGCGCA